Molecule: long non-coding RNA, 419 nt
Filed under: Anas platyrhynchos platyrhynchos (common mallard)
Lineage: Eukaryota; Metazoa; Chordata; Aves; Anseriformes; Anatidae
Description: lncRNA (ENSAPLG00000027917.1)
Source: RNAcentral
GUAUGUAACCUUACAAUUUUGGAGGGCUGUCACUGGAAAGUCUUUUCUAAGUGUAUAUUUUUUUAUAUAAAGAGACUUAUAGCAGUAACUAAAGGGAAAUAAAACACCACAAAAUCCUAUUGGAGACAUCGCAAACAUUUUGAAUUCCAUUAUUUGUCAUUAUUCCCUGAAGAUUUGUCUGCAUGAAAGGCAGUCUUCUGAGAUUUGUCAUGAAUGGCCAUUACAGUUCCUGCAAUGUUUAUAUGAUCAUAUACAGAGAGCCAAAUUUCUACGUAGUUUAUUUUCACACCUGUAUAUAUGUACAUAUGCCUGUAAGCAGCACAGAUCAGAUUAUGCCAGCUAAUGGCUUUAUCUGGACCAAAACCCAUAGAGAAAUCCAUCAGAGUUUGAAAUGCAGAUGGGAAAACAGAAUACACUGA